GCGUCCGGUGGGAAGGCUCUUCGGCUGGAUCGCGGCCGGGAUCGCCGUCUGCAUGGCGGUGGUCCUGGUGUCACUCCCGGUGGGCGCGC
This 89-nucleotide transfer RNA is filed under the name Pseudonocardia autotrophica. Its description in RNAcentral is "tRNA-Asp". Lineage: Bacteria; Bacillati; Actinomycetota; Actinomycetes; Pseudonocardiales; Pseudonocardiaceae. The record is from RNAcentral.